CUUCUGAUGGCGACCGGCGCACGGGUGCGUAACGCGUAUGCAACCUACCUGUAACAGGGGGAUAACACUGAGAAAUCGGUACUAAUACCGCAUAACACUAUGAGAGGCAUCUCUUGUGGUUGAAAGUUUCGGCGGUUACAGAUGGGCAUGCGUUGUAUUAGCUGGUUGAUAAGGUAACGGCUUACCAAGGCGACGAUACAUAGGGGGACUGAGAGGUUAACCCCCCACAUUGGUACUGAGACACGGACCAAACUCCUACGGGAGGCAGCAGUGAGGAAUAUUGGUCAAUGGACGGAAGUCUGAACCAGCCAUGCCGCGUGCAGGAAGACGGCUCUAUGAGUUGUAAACUGCUUUUGUACAAGGGUAAACCUGAAUACGUGUAUUCAGCUGAAAGUACUGUACGAAUAAGGAUCGGCUAACUCCGUGCCAGCAGCCGCGGUAAUACGGAGGAUCCAAGCGUUAUCCGGAUUUAUUGGGUUUAAAGGGUGCGUAGGCGGAUUGAUAAGUUAGAGGUGAAAUGUCCGAGCUUAACUCGGGAACUGCCUCUAAUACUGUUGAUCUAGAGAGUAGAUGCGGUAGGCGGAAUGUAUGGUGUAGCGGUGAAAUGCUUAGAGAUCAUACAGAACACCGAUUGCGAAGGCAGCUUACCAAUCUAUAUCUGACGUUGAGGCACGAAAGCGUGGGGAGCAAACAGGAUUAGAUACCCUGGUAGUCCACGCAGUAAACGAUGAUAGCUCGUUGUCGGCGAUACACAGUCGGUGACUAAGAAGAAUCGAUAAGCUAUCCACCUGGGGAG
This 796-nucleotide ribosomal RNA is filed under the name uncultured bacterium. RNAcentral's name for it is "bacterial SSU rRNA". It matches the Rfam family "Bacterial small subunit ribosomal RNA", at positions 82 to 880 of the family's 1533-position model. The record is from RNAcentral.